CAGAGGCCCCAAACGUUGCGCGGAAUCACUGGGCUUAAAGGGUGCGUAGGCGGGCCCGCAAGUGCUUUGUGAAAUCCCACGGCUUAACCGUGGAAUUGCUCGGCGUACUGCGGGUCUUGAGGUCGGCAGAGGUUGCUGGAACUCUAGGUGUAGCGGUGAAAUGCGUAGAUAUCUAGAGGAACGCCCAAGGUGAAGACAGGCAACUGGGCCGAUUCUGACGCUGAGGCACGAAAGCGUGGGUAGCGAACGGGAUUAGAUACCCCGGUAGUCCACGCCCUAAACGAUGCGCACUAGAUUGUGGUGGCUCUGACGCCGGCACGGUCGAAGCUAAAGUGCAAGUGCGCCGCCUGGGGAGUACGGUCGCAAGGCUAA
This 372-nucleotide ribosomal RNA is filed under the name uncultured organism. RNAcentral's name for it is "bacterial SSU rRNA". It matches the Rfam family "Bacterial small subunit ribosomal RNA", at positions 526 to 897 of the family's 1533-position model. The record is from RNAcentral.